Equus caballus (horse) is the source of this 1790-nucleotide long non-coding RNA. The record is from Ensembl. Lineage: Eukaryota; Metazoa; Chordata; Mammalia; Perissodactyla; Equidae.
GAGGCCUCGCCCAACUAGUCCUGGUAUGCCUGGGGCUUCCCGGGUUUUAGCACUGAAAGGCCCACGUCCCGGACGAACCGGGACAGUUGGUCCCCCUCCGUGAGCAAACUUGCUCCUCCGCCCGGAGGGGAGAAGGCGGGGCCGAUGGGCCCCACCCCAGCGCGCAGGGCCUUCAGCCAUUGACCGAGAGCGGGACAGAGCACCCGGGCGAGCUCUGCCGGGCAACCCGAGCCCGAUUCUCAGCCGCUGCCCAGAGCCUCUCAGCCUCAGGCCCCUCCCUGGCACUGCCUUUCCCAGACCCGCUUCUUCCUGGAAAAUCAAGGUUGUCUUUGAAUAAAGCAGAUCAUCCUCCAUAACAUGGGUGGGCCUCCUCCAAUCAGUUGAAGGACUUAAUGGAACAGCCUGACCUCCCCUGAGCAAGAAGGAAUUCUGCCAUCCCACAGCCUUCAAACUUGAACUUCAACAUCAGCUCUUCCCUGGAUCUCCAGCCUGCCAGCGCCCCCUGCAGAUUUUAGACUUGCUAGCCUCCAUAAUCAUAUUGAGCUGAGCUGGAGAGUGUGCCUGGCAAAACCUGAGCCCCAAGCAUUUCUGCCCUGAUUGGAUCCUUGUCACUAACCAAGCUUAUUCCAAGCUUGGGACCUUUACACCGUCCUCUGCCUGGAAUCCCCAAGAUGGAUGCACAGCUGGCUCCUUCCAAUCAUCGUUCCAGUCUCACUUCAUGCGUCACCUCAGGGAGGUGACCUGAUCACCAUCAUUGUAGGUCCUUCUGGUUGUGCUAUGCAGGACGCUGCCCCAGCAUGGCUUGAUGAGCGGUGCCAUGUCCCCGCCCAGGAUCUGAACCGGCAAAACCCUGGGCCGCUGAAGCAGAGUGCGUGAACUUAACCACUCGGCCACGGGGCCGGCCCUCAGCACUUUCUUUUUAAAACUCCUAGAAUCCAACUAAUGAAAACUAAUUUGCUGAAAAAUCAAUGUGCUGAAUUCUUAACGAUUUGGGGAAAAUUUGAGUUUCACUCUAGUCCUGGGUGGUACCAGACAAACACCUUCAACCAAGUCUAGGUCAAUUCACUGCAGCUGUCCUGCAGCCAGAGGCAGCAGCAUGGAUGAUAGCAAAGCAAAAUCUUGGGGGGGAAAUCCCUAGGCAUGGGUUGACUUGGUCACUUAGCAAUUGGGUAUACAGGGGAGGAUCCCAGGCAGUGGGGUGGCCUCUUUCCAUGGGGCCCAGGGCCAAGCUGGGGGUGGGAUUAGAAGCGAAGAUGAGGGGUAGCAAGGUCCAUCUCAAAGUGGAGCUUUUCCAACAUACUGAGAGCCAUGAGCUGAGCCACACCCCAAGAAGAUGCUCUGGUAAAUCUGCAUGAUCUUGGCUUGACACUGGAAUCUUAGGUAUGACACCUAAAGUACAGACAACAAAAGAAAAAAUAGAUCAAUUGGAUUUCAUCAAAAUUAAAACUUUUUUGUAUCAAAGGACGUUAUCAAGAAAGUGAAAAGACAAACUACAGAAUAGGAGAAAGUAUUUGUAAAUCAUAUAUCUGAUAUACAUCCAGAAUAUAUAAAGAACUCUUAUGAAAGACAAACAUCAUAUGAUUUCACUCAUAUGUGGAAGAUAAACAAACACACAGAUAAGGAGAACAGAUUAGUGGUUACCAGAGGUGAAGGGGGUUACUGGAGAGGAAGGGAGGGUGAAAGGGGUAAAGAGGCAUGUGUGUGUGGUGACAGAUAAAAACUAGACUAUUGGUGGUGAGCACGAUACAGUCUAUACAGAAACUGAAAUAUAAUAAUGUACACCUGAAAUU